RNAcentral lists this ribosomal RNA (497 nucleotides) under uncultured bacterium. RNAcentral's name for it is "partial 16S ribosomal RNA". It matches the Rfam family "Bacterial small subunit ribosomal RNA", at positions 28 to 507 of the family's 1533-position model. The record is from RNAcentral.
GAUGAACGCUGGCGGCGUGCCUAAUACAUGCAAGUCGAGCGAACGGACGAGAAGCUUGCUUCUCUGAUGUUAGCGGCGGACGGGUGAGUAACACGUGGAUAACCUACCUAUAAGACUGGGAUAACUUCGGGAAACCGGAGCUAAUACCGGAUGAUAUUUUGAACCGCAUGGUUCGAAAGUGAAAGACGGUCUUGCUGUCACUUAUAGAGGGAUCCGCGCUGCAUUAGCUAGUUGGUAAGGUAACGGCUUACCAAGGCAACGAUGCAUAGCCGACCUGAGAGGGUGAUCGGCCACACUGGAACUGAGACACGGUCCAGACUCCUACGGGAGGCAGCAGUAGGGAAUCUUCCGCAAUGGGCGAAAGCCUGACGGAGCAACGCCGCGUGAGUGAUGAAGGUCUUCGGAUCGUAAAACUCUGUUAUUAGGGAAGAACAUAUGUGUAAGUAACUGUGCACAUCUUGACGGUACCUAAUCAGAAAGCCACGGCUAACUACGUG